AUUCCGGUUGAUCCUGCCGGACCCAACCGCUAUCGGGGUAGGGCUAAGCCAUGGGAGUCGUACGCCCCCGGGUCGAAGGGGGCGUGGCGGACGGCUGAGUAACACGUGGCUAACCUACCCUCGGGACAGGGAUAACCCCGGGAAACUGGGGAUAAUCCCUGAUAGGGGAAGGGUGCUGGAACGCCCCUUCCCCGAAAGGGCCACGGGCUACCGCUCGUGGUCGCCCGAGGAUGGGGCUGCGGCCCAUCAGGUAGUUGGCGGGGUAACGGCCCGCCAAGCCUAUAACGGGUAGGGGCCCUGAUAGGGGGAGCCCCCAGUUGGGCACUGAGACAAGGGCCCAGGCCCUACGGGGCGCACCAG
RNAcentral lists this ribosomal RNA (360 nucleotides) under Sulfolobales archaeon. RNAcentral's name for it is "bacterial SSU rRNA". It matches the Rfam family "Archaeal small subunit ribosomal RNA", at positions 1 to 338 of the family's 1478-position model. The record is from RNAcentral. Lineage: Archaea; Thermoproteati; Thermoproteota; Thermoprotei; Sulfolobales.